RNAcentral lists this ribosomal RNA (253 nucleotides) under uncultured bacterium. Its description in RNAcentral is "partial 16S ribosomal RNA". It matches the Rfam family "Bacterial small subunit ribosomal RNA", at positions 524 to 776 of the family's 1533-position model. The record is from RNAcentral.
UACGAAGGGGGCUAGCGUUGCUCGGAAUCACUGGGCGUAAAGGGCGCGUAGGCGGGAUGGCAAGUCGGUCGUGAAAUCCCUCGGCUCAACCGAGGAACGUCGAUCGAUACUGCUGUUCUUGAGGAUUGCAGAGGAGACUGGAAUUCCCGGUGUAGCGGUGAAAUGUGUAGAGAUCGGGAGGAACACCGGUGGCGAAGGCGGCAUCCUGGACCGGUAUUGACGCUGAGGCGCGAAAGCUAGGGGAGCAAACGGG